This 444-nucleotide ribosomal RNA is filed under the name Bacteroidaceae bacterium. RNAcentral describes it as "bacterial SSU rRNA". It matches the Rfam family "Bacterial small subunit ribosomal RNA", at positions 1 to 436 of the family's 1533-position model. The record is from RNAcentral. Lineage: Bacteria; Pseudomonadati; Bacteroidota; Bacteroidia; Bacteroidales; Bacteroidaceae.
ACGAUGAAGAGUUUGAUCCUGGCUCAGGAUGAACGCUAGCUACAGGCUUAACACAUGCAAGUCGAGGGGCAGCAUGGGUGUAGCAAUACACCUGAUGGCGACCGGCGCACGGGUGCGUAACGCGUAUCCAACCUGCCGUGUACUCCGGGAUAGCCCUCUGAAAGGAGGAUUAAUACCGGAUGUGGUUGUUCGAGGACAUCCUCUUACAAUUAAAGAUUCAUCGGUACACCGAUGGGGAUGCGUACGAUUAGGUAGUCGGCGGGGUAACGGCCCACCGAGCCUUCGAUCGUUAGGGGUUCUGAGAGGAAGGUCCCCCACAUAGGAACUGAGACACGGUCCUAACUCCUACGUGAGGCAGCAGUGAGGAAUAUUGGUCAAUGGGCGAGAGCCUGAACCAGCCAAGUAGCGUGAAGGAUGACUGCCCUACGGGUUGUAAACUUCUUU